UGUUGAUCUUUCAGGUCUUUGCCUUAAUAGUUGCUGUUUGCGCAGAGUUUGGCUACCAGGAAUGUUUACUGAGUAUUUGUUGGCCAGCUGUCCAACCCCUUCCAUCCUGCCCCUCUAAAGAGGGUUUCAUCAGAUCCCAUUAAAACCCGGGAGCUUAUUUUAAGACUGUAGACCCUACGAGGCCUCUGGAGCAUUUGUGCUUCUUAUCCUCGUGCAUCAUUUUUUCCACAUUCGCUGCAAUACUCCUUGUUAAGCUUCUAAAAGGCUUUCAGAUGAACCAUAUGGAGAACUAUAUAGGACGUGGGUGCCAAGGAGGCGAAAGGAAACAUCCCAAGAAAAGGCAAAAAGUUUAGCAACUCACCAGCAGUGAUGUUUUCCAUUUUCCUCUGGAAUAAGGAGUGGUAACGGUUCUAGUUGCCAAUACUGCUGAGCUGCUGGAGCCACAUCUCCUGAUUCUGAGGUGUUGUGGCAGCAGAAGAGGCA
Molecule: long non-coding RNA, 483 nt
Filed under: Calidris pugnax (ruff)
Lineage: Eukaryota; Metazoa; Chordata; Aves; Charadriiformes; Scolopacidae
Description: lncRNA (ENSCPUG00000005268.1)
Source: RNAcentral